Molecule: long non-coding RNA, 6805 nt
Filed under: Homo sapiens (human)
Lineage: Eukaryota; Metazoa; Chordata; Mammalia; Primates; Hominidae
Description: HSALNT0357324
Source: RNAcentral
GGGGCGGCGCAGCCCCGCGCGGUUGUGGGAUCGCUCCCGGGGGCCGCUCCUCUCUCGGGCACUGGGGUCGCGGGAGACGUCGUCGGGAGCUCGGUUUCUGGAGGCCCUUCCCCACCCGGCCUCUGCCUCCUCCACUCCCCCGGGCUGGACGGAACGGGGCCCAGCGCGGGAUGCGAGGGUCUUACUAUGUCACCCAGACUGAAGUGCAGUGGCAUGAUCACAGGUCAUUGCAUCCUCAACCACCCAGACUCAAGCAAUCCUCCUGUCUCAGCCUUCCAAGUAACUGAGACCACAGGUGCGUACCACCACACCUGGCUAUUUUGCUGCUGUUUGUUUUUGUAGAGAUGGGGUUUCACCACAUUGCCCAGGCUGAUCUUGAAUUCCUGGGCUCAAGCAGUCUUCCCACCUCAGCCUCCAAAAGUGCUGGGAUUAUAGGUGUGAGCCAUCGUGCCCCACCCCUGCUGGGAUUUCAGUUAAGAUUACAUUGUAUCUGUGGAACAAUUUGGGAAAAAUGGUCAUCAUCAUAUUUAGUCUUGUAGUUCAUAGACAUAGUAUAUCUCCAUUUAUUUGCGUCUUUAAUUUUCAGCAUAACAUUCAGCAAUGUUUUUAUAGUUUUAAUUGUAUAGGUGCCUUGCAUGUAUUAUGUUAAAUUUAUCCCUAACUAGUCCAUGUUUUUGAUACUAUAGUAAAUGGUGUUUGUGUGUGUGUGUGUGUAUUUUUUUUUUUUUUUUUUAGACAAAGCCUCACUCUGUCACCCAGACUGGAGUGCAGUGGUAUAAUCAUAGCUCACUACAGCCUUGACCUCCUGAGCUCAAGCAGUCCUCCUGUCUCAGCCUCCCAAGUAGCUGGGAUGACAGUGUGCACCACCACACCCAGCUAAUUUUUUUUUUUUUGGUCUUGCUGUGUUGCCCGGGCUGGACUCAAGUGAUCUUCCCUUCUCAGCCUCUCAAAGUGCUGGAAUUACAGGCAUGAGCCACCGUGCCCAGCCAGAGGUAUUGUUUUUGAUACUAUAGUAAAUAUUUUAUUUAAAUUUCCAGGUGGUUAUUGCUAGUAUGCAGAAAAUAUUUUUUUGCAUUAACCUAUGCUAAAGUCACUUACUAUUUUGAUUUGCCUUUCAUAAAGAUUCCUUAAAUGUUUCUACAUACACAAUCAUGUCAUCUGCAGAUAGACAGUUUUAUUUCUUCUUUUCAAUCUGUAUGGUUUUCUUUGCCUUUUUCUUGCCUAUUGUACUGGCUAGGACUUCCAGUGUAAUGUUUAAUAGAAAUCCUGAGACUGGACAUCCUUGCCUUAUUUUCAAUCUGAGGAGAAAGCAUUCAGUUGUUCAUCAUUAACAGACAAUGUUAGCUGAAGGUUUUUCAGAGCUUGUGUACUCUACCAGGAUGAAGAAGGUCCCUUCUAUUUCCAGUUUGCUAAGAGUUUUAAAAUUGUGAAUGGAUGGCGAAUUUUGUUAUUUUUCUGCAUCUAAUAAGAGAAUCAUAUAUGGUUUUUCUCCUUUGUUCUGUUAAUAUGGUAGGUAUGUUGAUUUUUUUAGUGUUAAAACAAGCUUGCAUUCUUGGGAUAAACCCCACUUAGUCAUGAUGCAUUAUCCUUGUUAUAUAUUGCUGAAUUCAGUUUGCCAAAAAUUUAACUAAGGAUGUUUGCAUCUGUAUUCAGUGAGGUAUACUGUAUUCAGUGAGGUAUUCCUUUCAAUGUCAUUGUCUGGGCUCAGACAAUGACUAGAGAAGUCAUCUUUCUUUGUUUUUAGAAUGAGUUUGUGUGUGUUUGUUAUUAUUUUUCCUUAAAUAUUUGAUAGAAUUUACUGCUGAAGCCACCUCAGUCUGAAGUUUCUUUGCAGGAAGUUUUAAUUCAUAAUUAAAUUUCCUUAGCAUAUAUAGGGCUUUUUUCUUUUUUCUUUUUUUGAGACAGAGUGUCACAGUGUCUCCCGGGCUGGAGUGCAAUGGCGCGAUCUCAGCUUACUGCAGCCUUUGCCUCCCGGGUUCAAGCAAUUCUCCUGCCUCAACCUCCCAAGUAGCUGGGAUCACAGGCGCCUACCACCAUGCCCAGCUAAUUUUUUGUAUUUUCAGUAGAGACAGGGUUUCACUAUGUUGGCCAGGCUGGUCCCAAACUCCUGAGAUGAGGAUAAUUUUUUGUAUUUUUAGUAGAGACGGGGUUUCACUAUGUUGGCCUGGCUGGUCUCAAACUCCUGACCUCGUAAUUCACCCACCUCGGCCUCCCAAAGUGCUGGGAUUACAAGUGUGAGCCACCGUGCCUGGCCUUCUUUCUAGUUUCUUGAAUCACUAUGGUUAAUCUGUGGCAUUCAACCAAUUUGUCCAUUUUAUCUAUGCCAUUGAAUUUAUUUACAUAAUUAUAAUCUUUUUUUGUUUUAAUGUCUGCAAGAUCUGUGGUGAUAUCUAUUUCAUUCCUAAUGUUGGUAAUUUUUUCUUUUCCUGCUUGCUCUUAUUGUUUGUUUGUUUGUUUGUUUGUUUUGAGAUAGGUUCUCAUUCUGUCACCCAGACCAGGCUGGAAUACAGUAGCGAUCAUAACUCACUCAGCCCCAAACUCCUGGUCUCAGGCAGUCCUCCUGCCUCAGCGUUUCAAAUUGUUGGGAUUACAGGCAUGAGCCACUGUGUUCAGCCUCUUUUAAUUCCUAUAUGUAUUAGCCAGUUGAGGUGGCUUGCUUGAACCCAAGAGUUCUGGGCAACACAGCAAGACCUCAUCUCUACAAAUAAUUUUAAAAAUUAGCUGGGGCAUGGUGGCGCACACCUCUGGUCUCAGCUACUUGAGAGGCUGAGACAGGUGGAUCACUUGAGCCCAGGCAGUCAAGGCUUCGGUGAGCCGUGAUCCCGCCACUGCACUCCGGCCCAGGUGACACUAUGAGACUCUGUCUCAAAAAAAUAAACUAUAGAAAAUCUGAGUAGCCCUAUAUGUAGUAAGGAAAUUUAAUUAUCAGUUAAACUGUCACCUGGGUAACAGAGUGAGACCACGUCUCAAGGGAAGGGGAGGGGAGGGGAGGGUCUUGUAUUUAUUAUUUCCUUCCUUUUACUUGGUUUUACUUUGGUUUAAUUUGGUUUACAUUGGUUUAAUUUGUUCUUCUUUUACUAUUUUUUUUUUACUGAAUCAUCAUUAUUGUUCUACCACUCGAAUCACCGCAUUGCUGUUGCUAAAUGACCAAUAGACCAACAGAUCCUUCCAUAGAAACAAAAAAAAGCCCUUGCUUUUCAAUAUUACCAAAGGGAAACAUAUAGUCAGAACUGCAAGAAAACUGCCUUGUGAUCCGGCUUCUGUCACAUUUUAGUUUACAAUACAGGAGCAUAAAGUAGCUACUCAACUACCUCGAAAAUAAGAGAAUCAUUUACCUUUCUGUAUAUAACCUAAUUAAAACCAUGUCAGAUCCAGCAAAACUGAUUUUCAUCUCUCCUCAGUAGAUAUAGGAGUAUAUAUUGAUAUUUCUACUUCAUGACUAGAUAGGGGACUAAAUUAAAAUUCGCUACUCAGUUCUCAGUUGUAAGGCCCACAGUUGCACAUGGGUAGGUGGGUAGUUGCACAUGCACAGAGUUGGUGGUCACAACUCUGCUUUCUUGCCCUUCUGCUUAACAUGGAGCUAUUUAAUCUUAUUUAUUUAUUUAUUUAUUUAUUUAUUUAGAAAUAGGGUCUGCUCUGUCACCUUGGCUGGAGUGCAGUGGCACAAUCAUGGCUCACUGCAGCCUAGAACUCCUGGGCUCAAGUGAUGUUCCCACCUUAGCCUCCUGAGUAGCUGGGACUAUAGACACACACAACCACGCUCUGCCAAUUUUGAAAUUUUUUGUAGAAAUGAGGUCUCCCUAUGUUGCCCAGGCUGGUCUUGAACUCCUGGCCUCAAGCAGUCCUCCCACCUCAGCCUCCCAAGUGCUAGGAUUACAGGCAAGAGCCACAGCGCCAGGCUGGAACUAUGUAAGAUAGCACUUAGCCCUGCAUGUAUGUGUUACUAACAAUGGUUGUGUAGAUCACUCCUCCAAAGGGAAAGUCUCUCUAGAUGGGUUUUUGCCCCAAUUAAGCAAUAGCUUCCUCCAAACGGUGCUCACCUAUCCAUUGACUGCGAUAUUUGAAGACAAAGUGAGUCUUCACUCACCAUCACCAUUCCCCACGUCCCCUUUCCCUGGGAGCGCACACACUUAGGAGGGCAGUGCUGCUUCCUCCACAGCAGUGACAGCUGGCCAGGAUUUAUGAAAUGUCUCUCAAGGAAAUGUGCUCUCUUCCAUGCUCAGAGAUGCCACGUGGUCACAGUGCAGUCUUCAUGCAGUUGUAGCUUAGACUUCCAGAUUCAAAGGUCAGAAACCAGCUUGGAAUUUUCCUGGUCCUAACUCAAACCUGGCAUAAGUCAAAGUUUAAAUCCAACAGGUUCCAAAGGAAAUCAGAUUAAACACAUGUGCUGCUUGGUCAUGCAAGGACCCUGGAGUAGAAAAGUAGGUAUUGCCGUCUUGGUCAUGAAAGCCACAACAUCACCAGCAAGAGGACAGGCACUUAGAUCUGUUCACUGCUGUGCCCUCAACUCCUGGAAUAGGACCUGGUGCAGAGUGUGAUCAGAAAGUAUUUAUUGAGUUUCAGGUACAGUGGCUCAUGCCUGUAAUCCUAACACAUUGGAAGACCAAGGUGGGAGGAUCACUUGAGCCCAGGAGUUUGAGACCAGCCUGGGUGACACAGGGAGACCCUAUCUCUAUAAAAAAUAAACUUAAAAAAAAAUUGGGCCCUGCACAAUGGUUCACGCCUGUAAUCCCAGCUCUUUGGGAAACUGAAGCGGAUGGAUCAUCUGAGGUCAGGAAUUCGAGACCAGCCUGGCCAACAUGGUGAAACCCCCAUCUCUACUAAAAAUAGAAAAAUUAGCCGGGCGUGGUGGCGGGCACCUGUAAUCCCAGCUACUCGGGAGGCUGAGGCAGGAGAAUCACUUGAACCCAAGAGGUGGAGGUUGCAGUGAGGCGAGAUUGCACCACUGCACUCCAGCCUGGGCAACAGAGCGAGACUUGGUCUACACGCUUUGUAAUCUAAAACAUUCUCUACCAAUACCUCAAUCAGUGAAUUCUUGCUUUAUUGAUACAUUCUAGUAUUCAGUUGUGAUUUUAAUAUGCUAUUUUGGUACUUUCUGCUUUCAGUUUUCAUUGCUGUGGCUAUUGCCUUAAACAGAAACAAAAAACUAAAACAAUUUUACAACCAUCCAAAAGAGGCUUGGAAACUUUUUUUUGGCUGGAUAUCCAUAGCACAAUUUAAUUCAGUAAACAUAAACAGUUAAAAUUAUUCCAGUACACAACCAUGUUUUAAAAAAGAGAUUACACCCAAUUUUGGCAACAACACCCAGGAAAUAAGCAUUCUUUUACAUUUGGUUCAAACUUUCUGAAUGGCAGUUGUGCAACACUUGUUGUGAAAAACUUUAGAAUAUUAUAAACAUGUUAAUCCUGUAUUUCCAUUUCUGUGAAUUCAUCCAAAAGAAAUAACCAUGGAUAUGGGUAGAGACAGAGCCAUAUGGAAUGCACACUGCAGUGGUGAACACAUGGCCCAGCUCUGCCAUCAAGGAGAAGGAACAUGAAUGGAGCUGGAGGCCAUCAUCCUUAGUGAACUAACACAGGAGCAGAAAACCAAAUACCACAUGUUCUCAUGUGUAAGUGGGAGCUAAAUGAUGAGAACACAUGGACACAAAGAGGGGAACAACAGACACUGAAGCCUCCUUGAGGGAGGAGGGUAAGAGGAAGGAGAAGAUCAGAAAAGAUAACUACCAGGUACUAUGGUAGCUUAGUACCUGGGUGAUGAAAUAAUCUGUACACCCAACCCUCAUGACAGAAGUUUACCUGUGUAACAAACCUGCACAUGUAUCCCUGAAACUAAAAGUUUUUUAAAAAGUUAUUUAAUAUAUAUAUAUUUUUUUGAGACGGAGUUUUGCUCUUGUUGCCCAGGCUGGAGUGCGGUGGCGCAAUUUCGGCUCACCACAACCUCCGCCUCCCAGGUUCAAGCUAUUCCCCUGCCUCAGCCUCCCUAGUAGCUGGGAUUACAGGCUUGUGCCACCACGCCGGCUAAUUUUGUAUUUUUUGUAGAGACGGGGUUUCUCCAUGUUGGUCAGGCUGGUCUCGAACUCCCGACCUCAGGUGAUCCACCCCCCUCGGCCUCCCAAAGUGCUAGGAUUACAGGCAUGAGCCACUGCGCCCGGCAAAAAGUUAUUUAAUAUUAAUGGGACAAUACUCAUUGCAAGAAUCAGACUUCAAUUGCUAGCAUAAGUAAAUGACAGGCAGGAGAUAUUGAAAAUGCAAUCUUAUAGACAUUCAAGGAGAGGACGCAGGACAUUUCUGUGUCAUAAAUGUACUAUGGAAAAUAAAAAUGAGAAAAAUGGAAAUAAAAUACAAGAAAAGGUUAUGAUAAAUUUCAUAUUAUUUUACCACAAUAAAAAAAUUUUAAUAAAUUAUAAAUGGUGUGAUAUGUUUUGCCUGUGUUCCACCCAAAUCUCAUCUUGAAUUAGAGCUCCCACAAUUCCCACGUGUUGUGGCUGGGACCCUGUGGGAGAUAAUUGAAUCAUGGGGGCAGUUUACCCCAUACUGUUCUCUUGGUGGUGAAUAAGUCUCAUGAGAGUUGAUGGUUUGAUAAGGGGUUUCCCCUUUUGCUUGGCUCUCAUUCUCUCUUGACUGCCACCAUGUAAGAUGUGCCUUUUGCCUUCCACCAUGAUUGUGAAGCCUCCCAGCCACAUGGAACUGUGAGUCCAUUAAACCUUUUUCUUUACAAAUUACCCAGUCUCGAGUAUGUCUUUAUCAGCAGUGAGAGAACAGACUAAUAUGAGUGUGAUCUAAUUAACAUAAAGGGAGAAUGAGGA